GGUAAGGUGUCCGAAAUAGGUGCCGAGUUGUAGCCUCGGUUAUAAAGGCAGCGCGCCUUUUCUUAUCA
This 68-nucleotide transfer RNA is filed under the name Hemidactylium scutatum (four-toed salamander). RNAcentral's name for it is "tRNA-Tyr". Lineage: Eukaryota; Metazoa; Chordata; Amphibia; Caudata; Plethodontidae. The record is from RNAcentral.